Molecule: non-coding RNA, 450 nt
Organism: Pimephales promelas (fathead minnow)
Lineage: Eukaryota; Metazoa; Chordata; Actinopteri; Cypriniformes; Leuciscidae
Source: RefSeq, a predicted model, not a curated record
CAGAAAUCCAAAAUGGCGGCCGCGUGCAACUAGCAGAGAUGCUGCACUGAUGAUUGACUGUGUUGCUACUGUUAUAUCUUUUUUACAGAUCUCCUCCUUCAGUGAUGCUCCUCCUCCUCCAGUGAAACUCCUCCUUCAGUGAAGCUCCUCCCACUGCAGUUCACCAAUAAACGCUGGAAUAUUCCCCUCAGCUACAAGUGAAGACGAGCAUCAAACCAUCAGGAAGAGCUUACACAAACACAGAGUUUAUUGAAGGACAGUGAGAACAUGAGAUCCAGAACACUGCAGAAUGAAACAUACUGAAGAACAAAGAGCGGCAAAAUUCUAAUCUGAAAAAUGAAGCCUACCCGGAAGUGGGAAAAACUGCAAUCCAUCGAAAAUCCGCUAGAGGCCGGUCCCAAAAGGGGGUUCUGAGUGCCUGACAACUGUGAGCUGAUAACGGGCUGCGCC